AUGGAGGAGAGGCUGAAACUAAGUCGCGACAGCACGACGGAGGAACGACCAACGUCGGAACACCAGCAGGCAGUGAAGAGGAUCGUCCGCUACAUAGCAGGGACCCUCGACCACGGCCUCCAUUACCCUAGGUGCCCUGGGGCGGCACACUUCGUCGGGUACAGCGACAGCGACCACGCCGGCGACAUCGACACCAGCAAGAGCACGAGCGGGAUCCUCCUCUUCCUCGGCAAGUGUCUCGUGAGCUGGCAAUCAGUCAAGCAGCAGGUGGUGGCCCUGUCCAGCUGUGAGGCUGAGUACAUAGCGGCCUCCACCGCCUGUACUUAG
RNAcentral lists this ribosomal RNA (327 nucleotides) under Triticum aestivum (bread wheat). RNAcentral describes it as "partial small subunit ribosomal RNA". The record is from RNAcentral. Lineage: Eukaryota; Viridiplantae; Streptophyta; Magnoliopsida; Poales; Poaceae.